GAGUUUGAUCCUGGCUCAGGAUGAACGCUGGCGGCGUGCCUAAUACAUGCAAGUCGAGCGAAUGGAUUAAGAGCUUGCUCUUAUGAAGUUAGCGGCGGACGGGUGAGUAACACGUGGGUAACCUGCCCAUAAGACUGGGAUAACUCCGGGAAACCGGGGCUAAUACCGGAUAAUAUUUUGAACUGCAUGGUUCGAAAUUGAAAGGCGGCUUCGGCUGUCACUUAUGGAUGGACCCGCGUCGCAUUAGCUAGUUGGUGAGGUAACGGCUCACCAAGGCAACGAUGCGUAGCCGACCUGAGAGGGUGAUCGGCCACACUGGGACUGAGACACGGCCCAGACUCCUACGGGAGGCAGCAGUAGGGAAUCUUCCGCAAUGGACGAAAGUCUGACGGAGCAACGCCGCGUGAGUGAUGAAGGCUUUCGGGUCGUAAAACUCUGUUGUUAGGGAAGAACAAGUGCUAGUUGAAUAAGCUGGCACCUUGACGGUACCUAACCAGAAAGCCACGGCUAACUACGUGCCAGCAGCCGCGGUAAUACGUAGGUGGCAAGCGUUAUCCGGAAUUAUUGGGCGUAAAGCGCGCGCAGGUGGUUUCUUAAGUCUGAUGUGAAAGCCCACGGCUCAACCGUGGAGGGUCAUUGGAAACUGGGAGACUUGAGUGCAGAAGAGGAAAGUGGAAUUCCAUGUGUAGCGGUGAAAUGCGUAGAGAUAUGGAGGAACACCAGUGGCGAAGGCGACUUUAUGGGCUGUAACUGACACUGAGGCGCGAAAGCGUGGGGAGCAAACAGGAUGAGAGACCCUGGGAGUCC
This 807-nucleotide ribosomal RNA is filed under the name uncultured bacterium. Its description in RNAcentral is "bacterial SSU rRNA". It matches the Rfam family "Bacterial small subunit ribosomal RNA", at positions 9 to 796 of the family's 1533-position model. The record is from RNAcentral.